GUAAGCUACUAAGAGCAAAUGGUGGAUGCCUUGGCUAGUAGAGGCGAUGAAAGACGUGCCAGGCUGCGAUAAGUCUCGGGGAGCCGUCAAGGGGCUUUGAUCCGGGAAUUUCUGAAUGGGGCAACCCAGUUAAUAGUGAUAUUAACUACUGUAUUUACAGAGCUAACGUGGGGAAUUGAAACAUCUUAGUACCCACAGGAAGAGAAAUCAAAAGAGAUUACGCUAGUAGCGGCGAGCGAACGCGUAAGAGGGCAAACCGUUAGUUUACUAACGGGGUUGUAGGACUGCAACAUAGACUUAAACAAACUAAUAGAAUAACCUGGAAAGGUUAGCCAUAGUGGGUGAUAGCCCCGUAUAUGAAAGUGCGUUUAUACUUAGCAGUAUCCUGAGUAGGGCGGGACACGUGAAAUCCUGUCUGAAGCUGGGGAGACCACUCUCCAACCCUAAAUACUACUACUAGACCGAUAGUGCACAAGUACCGUGAGGGAAAGGUGAAAAGAACUGAGGUGAUCAGAGUGAAAUAGAACCUGAAACCAUUUGCUUACAAUCAUUCAGAGCACGAUUCUUUAUGACGUGUGAUGGACUGCCUUUUGCAUAAUGAGCCUGCGAGUUGUGGUGUCUGGCGAGGUUAAGGAAACCCGGAGCCGUAGCGAAAGCGAGUCUUAAUAGGGCGUAUAGUCAGAUGCUGCAGACCCGAAACGAUGUGAUCUAUCCAUGAGCAGGUUGAAACUGGUGUAAGAGCCAGUGGAGGACCGAACAGACGGCCGUUGAAAAGGCUCCUGAUGACUUGUGGAUAGGGGUGAAAGGCCAAUCAAACAUCGUGAUAGCUGGUUCUCUCCGAAAUAUAUUUAGGUAUAGCGUUGUGUAGUAACUUUGUGAGGUAGAGCACUGAAUGGGCUAGGGCAUACACCAAUGUACCAAACCCUAUCAAACUCCGAAUGCGCAAAGCGUAAUCACAGCAGUCAGGCGGCGAGUGAUAAAAUCCGUCGUCAAGAGGGGAACAACCCAGACUAACAGCUAAGGUCCCUAAAUCUCAUUUAAGUGGAAAACGAUGUGGAGUUACUUAAACAACCAGGAGGUUGGCUUAGAAGCAGCCAUCCUUUAAAGAAAGCGUAAUAGCUCACUGGUCUAGUGAUUCUGCGCGGAAAAUAUAACGGGGCUAAAAUGAGUACCGAAGCUUUAGACUUGUGCUUAAUUUAGAUCUUAAACCGGUUCAAUAAACUCAAAUUUAAGUUAUAUUAAAACUAGCAAUAGCGUUUUUGCGAAGCAAAAAGUUUUAAAAUAUCUUUAGUUAAAAUGAGGUAGUUAAGAUUUAAAUUAAGCACAAGUGGUAGGAGAGCGUUCUAUUCAGCGUUGAAGGUAUACCGGUAAGGAGUGCUGGAGCGGAUAGAAGUGAGCAUGCAGGCAUGAGUAGCGAUAAUCUAGGUGAGAAUCCUAGACGCCGAAAACCCAAGGUUUCCUACGCGAUGCUCGUCAUCGUAGGGUUAGUCGGGUCCUAAGCAAAGUCCGAAAGGGGUAUGCGAUGGAAAAUUGGUUAAUAUUCCAAUACCAAUUAUUAUGUGCGAUGGAAGGACGCUUAAAGUUAGUGGAGCUAGCGGAUGGAAGUGCUAGUCUAAGGGCGUAGGUUGAGUUAUAGGCAAAUCCGUAACUCUCUAUCCGAGACCUCAAAGGCUCACGACGCUCUUCGGAGUUGAAUGAGAAUCCAUGAUACUAUCGAGCCAAGAAAAGUUUCUAAGUUUAGUAAUAAUUGCCCGUACCGUAAACCGACACAGGUGGGUGGGAUGAGUAUUCUAAGGCGCGUGGAAGAACUCUCUUUAAGGAACUCUGCAAAAUAGCACCGUAUCUUCGGUAUAAGGUGUGCCUAACUUUGUUAGUAGAUUUACUCUACAAAGCAAAGAAGGUUACAACAAAGAGUCCCUCCCGACUGUUUACCAUAAACACAGCACUCUGCUAACACGUAAGUGGAUGUAUAGGGUGUGACGCCUGCCCGGUGCUCGAAGGUUAAUUGAUGAUGUUAGCUCUGCGAAGCAUUUGAUCGAAGCCCGAGUAAACGGCGGCCGUAACUAUAACGGUCCUAAGGUAGCGAAAUUCCUUGUCGGUUAAAUACCGACCUGCAUGAAUGGCGUAACGAGAUGGGAGCUGUCUCAAAGAGAGAUCCAGUGAAAUUGUAGUGGAGGUGAAAAUUCCUCCUACCCGCGGCAAGACGGAAAGACCCCGUGGACCUUUACUACAGCUUGACACUGCUACUUGGAUAAAGAUGCGCAGGAUAGGUGGGAGGCUUUGAUCUAUAGACCCUGGUUUAUAGUGAGCCAUUGUUGAGAUACCACUCUUCUUUAUUCGGGUAGCUAACUAGCCUAAGUUAUCCUUAGGUAGGACAAUGUCUGGUGGGUAGUUUGACUGGGGCGGUCGCCUCCCAAAAUGUAACGGAGGCUUACAAAGGUUGGCUCAGAACGGUUGGAAAUCGUUCGUAGAGUAUAAAGGCAUAAGCCAGCUUAACUGCAAGACAUACACGUCAAGCAGAGACGAAAGUCGGUCUUAGUGAUCCGGUGGUUCUGCGUGGAAGGGCCAUCGCUCAAAGGAUAAAAGGUACCCCGGGGAUAACAGGCUGAUCUCCCCCAAGAGCUCACAUCGACGGGGAGGUUUGGCACCUCGAUGUCGGCUCAUCGCAUCCUGGGGCUGGAGCAGGUCCCAAGGGUAUGGCUGUUCGCCAUUUAAAGCGGUACGCGAGCUGGGUUCAGAACGUCGUGAGACAGUUCGGUCCCUAUCUGCCGUGGGCGUAAGAAGAUUGAGGAGAGUUGACCCUAGUACGAGAGGACCGGGUCGAACUGGCCACUGGUGUACCAGUUGUUCUGCCAAGAGCAUCGCUGGGUAGCUAAGCCGGGAUGUGAUAAGAGCUGAAAGCAUCUAAGCUCGAAGCCAACUCCAAGAUGAAUCUUCUUUUAAGAGCUCUAGUAGACUACUAGUUUGAUAGGCUGGGUGUGUAAGUGGUGAAAGCCAUUUAGCUGACCAGUACUAAUAGCUCGUUUGCUUAUCUUU
RNAcentral lists this ribosomal RNA (3036 nucleotides) under Campylobacter iguaniorum. RNAcentral's name for it is "bacterial LSU rRNA". It matches the Rfam family "Bacterial large subunit ribosomal RNA". The record is from RNAcentral. Lineage: Bacteria; Pseudomonadati; Campylobacterota; Epsilonproteobacteria; Campylobacterales; Campylobacteraceae.